GUUUCCGGUUUACUAUUUCUGCUUUGACAUUUGUGAUUUCCCUCCCUCAAAGUACUUUGGGCUUAGUUCGCUCUUUUUUUUUUUUUUUUUUUUUUUUUUAAUUUCCUCGAGGUACAGAGUGAGGUGGUUUUACACCCAACGUGGGGCUCGAACUUAAAACCCAAGACCAAGCGCUGUAUGCCCCGCCGACUGAGCCACCAGCCGCGACAUCUUUCCUUUUUCUCAAGGGGUGUUCACGACUGUGUUGUUCAGUCUGCCGGCCUUUGCGAAUUUUCCUGCUGUUACACGUUUCACGACAUGGUGGUCAGAAAAGCUACUCGGUCUGAGGUCAGUCCUUGUAAAUCUGUUAAGACGUGUUUGGGGACCCAACCUGUGAUGCUUCCUGGUGAGU
Molecule: long non-coding RNA, 391 nt
Filed under: Mustela putorius furo (domestic ferret)
Lineage: Eukaryota; Metazoa; Chordata; Mammalia; Carnivora; Mustelidae
Description: lncRNA (ENSMPUG00000028730.1)
Source: RNAcentral